RNAcentral lists this long non-coding RNA (37484 nucleotides) under Glycine max (soybean). RNAcentral describes it as "long non-coding RNA (GMAX_LNC004699)". The record is from RNAcentral. Lineage: Eukaryota; Viridiplantae; Streptophyta; Magnoliopsida; Fabales; Fabaceae.
UUUUUUUUUUUUUUGUACCAUUAUGUAGAUACACAAGGCAUUAGUUGUUGGUGUUUUAGGUUGCCCUUUCUAUUUUAUCUGUUUUUUAAUUGAAACAUAGGAUCAACCAUUCAACUCCUGGUAAUGACUCCUUGAUUACCGAAUUCUAUUUUUGCUAAAAUACAAAUGUUGAUUCAAAUCAUUCUGCUAUGCAGCAGUCAUAUCACCAAUUCCAUCCUCAGAAGAAUCUUUUGGUUUGACACCAUCAGAUGUGUUUGGUCACAGUUCUAAGAGAGUUGCCUUAAUGUCUGAUUGUCUGUAUAUUAUGACUGUUACCUUGGAAAACUGAAGUUCUUAAAUUGAUUCACAUUUCACUUAAAAUAUUACCUUCAAAUCUACAUCAUCAGAAAUAAUUUGAUUUGCAUCUCUUCCACAGUUUGCACACUUCAGUUAUGCCUUCCGUUUUUGCUCCUUUCCUCCUUCAAAAUUGUGCUAAUUUUUGGUGUUAUAUUGUCAGAGCUUGCAUAAAUUGGAAAGUUGUUUUUUAGCCAGGUUUUAACUUGGUGUGUGAUUAUUUUAUCAUUCUCCACCCCAGGGAUGCGCAUACUAUUGGCUUAGUAAAAUACAGAGAACCAUAUCCAUUUGGUGUGGAUCCCAGUUGGCGGGGAAGUCGUUCAGAGUUGCCUUUUCUAAACUCUCUCAAGAUGAAGAUGUCCAUUCUGCUGGGUGUGGUCCACAUGAACUUGGGAAUUCUUUUAAGUUAUUUCAAUGCUCGUUUCUUUGGCAACUCUCUGGAUAUAAGGUGCUCACUUUUCUUCCAAAUUCUCCCAGCAGUUUUUGUUUUGCUUUCCUUUGAGUAGAACGUUAUAACUUAAUCUUCAUAAUGCUUUUAGGUACCAGUUUGUGCCACAGAUUAUUUUCCUUAACUGUCUAUUUGGGUAUCUUUCCCUUCUCAUUGUUGUCAAGUGGUGUACUGGCUCUCAGGCAGACCUUUAUCAUGUAAUGAUUUACAUGUUUUUAAGCCCUUUUGACAAUCUUGGUGAGAAUCAAUUGUUCUGGGGCCAAAGACCACUUCAAGUAUGAUUCACUUCUUUGCUUCUUUAUUGCUUAAUAAUUCUUGUUCCAUUUCAUAUUUUACAUUAUUCUGAAUUACUGUUCAUGAUAUGCAGGUUGUGUUAUUGCUUUUGGCUGUAAUUGCAGUUCCAUGGAUGCUCUUUCCAAAACCAUUUAUACUAAAGAAACUUUAUAAUGAGGUGCCACUUUUGCCUCCCAUGUGUGAUUUUAUUGCUUGAAAAUUGAGAACUUUGUUCACUAAAAUUCUUGUUUACACGUUAAUAUGCCUACAUUACAUAUAUAUCCUUGUUGGUUCAAUUUUCCCCUUUCGGCAGGAUUUUGCUUAAGAUUGUCAAAUUUAAAUUCUCUUUUGAGGUCCAUUAUAAGAUCAUUUUUCUUUAGACUAAAAUAUGCUAGUUUCAAAUCACUUACAACUUCUAUUGGCUAUACAGACAUUGUUUUAGCUAUAUAGUUGCCCUUGUCCUAUACUUUUGAUGGCAGCUAGUUAUUAAAGAAGCAAUGCUGGGAGUUUGUGAAGAUUAUUAAUCUUAUAUCUUUGAUGAUAAUAUAGAGAUUUCAAGGACGCACUUAUGGUGUGCUUAAUACCUCUGAGGUUGAUCUUGAGUUGGAACCAGAUUCUGCUAGGCAAUAUCACGAGGAAUUCAAUUUCAGUGAGGUCUUUGUUCACCAAAUGAUUCACUCCAUUGAGUUUGUUCUAGGUUCAGUUUCAAAUACAGCCUCAUAUCUACGACUUUGGGCAUUAAGGUUUGGUCAGCUAUGAUUGUCUCAUUAAUUACAUUGGGUCCUUAUUUUAUCAAUUUUUUUUAUCCUUGGUUGAUAUUUUUUUACCACUAUGCAGCUUAGCUCACUCAGAACUUUCUACCGUUUUUUAUGAGAAAGUCCUGCUACUUGCUUGGGGGUGAGUUUGAUUCAUAAACUUUCAUUAAUACAAUGUACUAUUUUUUGAGCUCUUUAUUGAGAUUUUCUAUUUCCUUUAUUUUUUUUGGAUCCCCCUCCCCAUCCAAUGUGCAUUCUGUCAUAGACAACAAAACUAUAAUUUAUAAUUAAACUUGUCUGAAUGGUUAUCAUGAAAUGCCAAAUAAAGGAAGGUUUUAAUAGCCAACAAAACUUCACCUGAUCUUUGGGCAGAGAGGAAUCUAAGUACAGCAUCGGGAAAAUGUUGUUAUAUUUUUAUUGUGUGAAGUGCGAACAUGAAGAGGAAGGGUGCUGACAAUAAAUGCCACCUUUUAUAUUUAUCAAAUUGCUUAACAUUGUUAUUUCAAAGUACCGUUUUAUGUUUGGUCUUGGGUGGCAAUAGCAUACCUUAAUUUUGAAAUAUUUUCUUGUUACCCUGAAAGUAACCUUUAUAGAUAUUACUAUUCCUAGUUUGAGAUCUUUGUAUGGAAUGUGUAUCAUUGUUGCUGACAGUUAGAAACUUUUUAAUAGGAGUAAGUCAGUAAGAUAUUUUUACGGUGCAGAGUAGUUUUUGAACAGAUAAAUGUAUUUAUGGCUUAUUCUAUAGGUGCUAUUUUCAUUAAAAUUUAUAGCGGACAAAAGUAUCUUAAUCAAUAUACUACUAGUGUAGCCAUUAAUGUAUUUUGCACCAGCCACUUGCUAGUUUAGAUUAGUGUGACUUCUGACGAGCCCCUGAUUAGGAGUUGUGAAGAUAAAACUAUGCAACUAGUCUUCUCAUAUUGUAAAUAUAAAUAUUUUGUGUUUUUUGAGUUAAAUUGAAGAAAUUAUAGUGAAACUUAACUCAUCUGUUUGAAAAAACGCUGUCAUGUCUGCAUUCUUUUAUUGGAUAUUAUUAGGCUUUAGAAUUAUCCAUGUAUUAUAUUUGCAUUCCAUUUUAGCAUUUAUCUUUUUUAGUAUCAUUUUUCUAUAUUUAAUUGUUAAUGUCAUUGCUGAUUACAAUGACAACAGGUAUGACAAUCUUGUCAUUCGGUUAGUGGGGCUUGCUGUUUUUGCCUUUGCAACUGCCUUCAUACUAUUAAUGAUGGAGACUCUCAGUGCUUUUCUUCACGCCUUGCGUCUUCACUGGGUAGAAUUUCAGAAUAAAUUCUACAGCGGUGAUGGCUACAAGUUCAAACCUUUUUCCUUUGUCUCCUUAACAGAGGAAGAAAAUUGAUAUCAAUUUUUGUCUGUCUUGGUCUAUUGGCAAAUACGUGCAAAGAGUAUAUACGCAAGUAGAAGGAACACGGCAAGAAUUUGUGGGAUUCAAUUUAGUGGCUAUGGGUCAACAAUAUUCAAGCUCGUUUUCCCGUGGCUAUGCUGGUGUGACAUUUUUCGACCAACAAUAUUGGACUGCAUCUGUAACAGGAUAUUUACUUUCCAAUUUUUCUUUAGGUCUUGCUAAUCAAUGUUGUUAGAGUAAUGAUUAAGGAACUAAAAGGAGAAAGUAUUUAAUGUGAAAAACAUAUAAGAGCAUAAAAAAAAAGUUAUGGACAACAUAAUUUUAUGCAUUUCAAUAAAAUUUCUCCUUUUAGUUUUUUAACCAAUGUCUUAAAGACAGUGAUUACCAUUUGCCUUUUUCUUUUCCUUUCUUAGAGUAGGAAAACGGGUAGAGAUUAGGGAAGUAAAAUUUAGACUAAUUUUGUAAAAAAAGAAGUUGAUCUUAGUUUAGCUAUUGGUUAUUUGGGGUUACAAAUAUACACAUAAUGUAACGCGGGCUUUCCUAGGAUGUAGUCAUGUAGGUGUUGACUCUGAUUUUGUUUUUUUUUUGUAAUGAUUAAUCACAAGUUAUAAUCCCAUCUCUUUUGCAAGGUUUAAUCAGAAAACAGGAUGCCAUCUUUAUGAAUUUGUGUCAUGAUAAGCCGGCCGGACCCUAGGAAAAAAGUUUGAAUUAGUUUGCGAGCCUCUUCGGUAAUGAAUACACAUGUCUUUUUUUAUUACUUUUAUUUCCAGUUCUGUCUGGUUUUGUUCUUUUUUUUGCUGCAUACUGUCUGGUUUUGUAUUAUGAGUAAUUCAUUCAUUCAAUAUUACAUGCAAUUACAUUAUAUGUAUAAAAAAUCGUAUUACUAUGUCCCUCAAUAACAUAAAAGAUUUCAUGUAAACAGCAUUUUAAAUACUCAUUUUAUAAAGAAAUAAAAAUAAUGAUAAUAGUAAAUAGAAUCUAAUGUAGGAUGAAAUGGAGUUAGAAUUCCAAACGAAAAUAAAAUGCAUAUGAAUUGUGUAUUAUUUCUAAUUAUCUCUAGCAAUUCCUAAUAUGAAUGUUCUGAAAUUAUAAUUAGAGUUAAUUACAUUAAUCCUCUUGAGAUUUGCAUUAGUUGUACUUCUCUUUUUUUCUAACCUACAUAAAACUCCCUAAUUUUUUGGGUCUCGUAACGGUAACACCCCCUGUCCCCUUAACAUCAUUAAAUUGUUAACGGACUUGUGCAUAUGAGUGGCACAUAAUUUUUUAAUAAUGUUUUCUUCCAAAAACACCCUCAUCCCCUUCCUUGAGCACUUCCAAUUUUUGUUACGAAAUUUCAGCAACUAUCUCUCUUCAAUGAAUUAUAUUUUCAUUACGCAAUGCACACUACACUCUUCAAUAAAACACAACAUCAUAAAACACAAAAUUGAACCUUUAUUCUAAAAUUCCAGCAACGUGAGAUGAACUAAACGACACUAGCAAGACAAAAACUUAAACAGAUGGAACCUUAUUCAAAAAACCCAAAACUGAGAUGAAUAAUAUCACACCAGCAACUUCCAAAACCAACAUUUAUAUUCAUGAAAUUGUAUACUUAACCUACUUCACCAAACAUAAAAGCAAGAUUAAAAAAUUCACUAAUCAUUCCACAAAAUUAUCCACCGAGGAAAUUUUCUAAAAUGGGUAAUUAGUCGAAUAAAUGGAAACGUUGCAUUCUUCGCCAACGACUUUGCCGUCUUCGUCCACCACUUCUUCGACGCGCUCGGCCUCUCCCCCUCAAGAACUAUGCCGACACCAAAAAAACACAACCCGGAGCUCAAACCCCGAUUCCCUCACGCAAGAAAAAGUCGUCGAUCAGAUCUCUGUUGUCCUCGAGCUCCUUUGCCUCCACCACCGCAACGUCUGGUUCAAGUGGCAGCAGCGCCUCCCAUGCGUCAUCACCAAACUGUGCGUCCUCUGUUAGAAAAAUAAAAUAAAAUAAAAGGAAUAAGUAAGAAUAACAUCAAAAGCCUUAAACUAAAUAACAAACCAAUAAUAACAAAGGAAGAACUUCAGAACAUGGAUUGAUGAUACAACUAGGAAAAUUUGAUUUUACACCUCUCUCAAUAUAAAACAAUCCGUUGAAUUGAUUCCCAUCAUCUACAAGAUCCCGAAAGUUCUUGCUCUUAAUAACUUUUUAUAAAAAAUAAGAGAAGAAAUUUAGAAAAAAAUAAGUUUUUUCUAUUUGUGUCACUUGGAUAGAGAGAGUGAAGUGAUAUAUAUAUAGAGAGAAAGAUAGAUAGAUAGAGCCCAAGUGUGAUAUCUUACAAAAAAAAUGCAACAUCUUUUGAAUGUUAACAAACCAACUAUAAAGCAAACAAAGAUACUUCAACAAGUGCAACCUAAAGGAUAAAAAAGAAACUUAAAAAAGCAAAUAUUUACUAACAUUCUCCUAUAUAAUUUAAAAUUUUAAAAUAUUUUAAAAAACACAAUUUGUGUAGAAACAUAAAAGAAAAAAAUGUAAUAUUGUAUUUCAGUAUAAGAAACCUUCCGGAUUUGAGUCUUAUACCUAGUGUUUAUGAACUUUCACCCGAGAAAGAUGUAGAGACUUACUUGUUUUGAACUACAUCUUCUUUAAUCAAAUUUUAGUACAUAACUUUUAAGUUCUAAUCAAUGGAUGUGCGUUACAUGACAUUCCGCAUGUAUCUUAUUUCGUAAGUGUCACUUAAAAAUUAGUUCAUAUCUCAUCGUGGCAGCCUCACCACCUCACUUACUAGAUGAAUCCUCAAAGAGGGGUUUGUGACUCCCAACCCUACAAUAAUUAUCAUCGGAUCCAUUAAGAAGUAUUUUUUUUAGACAAAAAAAAUAACAUUUGUAAAUACCUUAACCUUAAUAUUGUCACAAUUUACAAUACACCUCGUCAUAGGAAUAAGAAACGGAACAACUUCACAAAAUUUUAUUUUAGUGUACUUUAGUCAACAAACAAUUUUGUUAUUACCCGUUGAACUCUACUCAUGAGAUCACCAAUCACACAGAGAGAAGUAUCCAUUGUUGUGACUAAAUAAUGAACUCUAGUCUCAUUCCCUUCGAUAACUCAAGUACUUGUUGGCGCAUCAACCCUUUUGUACACGGAUCUACAAUAUUAUUUUCUGACCUGACAAAGUCAAAAGAAAUAACAUAAUGAGAAAUCAAAUUUCUGAUAGACUUAUGUCUCACUCUUGAGUAUCUCAUUUUUUCAUUAAAAUUUGUGUUAGUAACUUUAGAAUAAGACAUUGACAACAAGGAAAUUUUUUUAGGGUUAACACAGUUUCAGAUAAAAAGAGUAGCAGUGACAAUUGACCAUAAAUUUUACCGCUGUAUGUUGAGGCUGCUCUGCAUCAGCAUGUGCAUCUGCAAGUGCUUUGUCCAUAGUCGUUGCUGCCACCGGCUGUUGGGGAACAUAUGCUUCAACAAAUGUGUCAUCGCGCACCGUAGGUGGAUGUCUAGGAAGAUCCCCAGUCUAUGCGGUAGUCAUGAAGGGAUGAGAUAUCAUGUAAAACCACUCCAUAUAGUCUGCAACACAUUGUUCAGGCGCAAGACAUAUCUAACCCACCGGCGCAAGGUAUUUAGAAAACUGAAUCUAUCUAUCAUCAAUCUCUUAUGCAGAUAGACAUAGAGCAGCAGGGUGUGGUGGAAUGGUCUACACGUACCCAAACUAUUGCACAACCCUCUAUAGCCGGUGUAUGACAAUAGAUGGACCCCAAUGGAUGUGUCCGAAAAAUAAAGAGAUCGGCUCAAACUCUCUGAAUGCGUGGUGGUCACCAUAGGAAAUCCAACACACAACAUUAGAUGUCAAUCUAUCCAGACACUUACGAUAUGUCGACACUGGUAAUGCCUGCCUAGACUUUCAACGACGAGCACGUGGUUUCCUCUCAUCAUAAUCUUCAGCAGCAAUAGCAGAAACAACUGAAGGAAAAUGCUCGUAGAUUCAAUCCUACACGUAUUUUAAAAACAACAAAACAAUCAAAACAAAUACUCAAUAUAAACUAAAGAACUAAAAAUAAAUUAAAAAAAAAUAAAAUUACUUGUAAAAAUGUGAUAUAUCCUACAAGUUGUCUGGCGUUGCUCUUUGACGCAUCAUUCAAAUUGUGAUACAUAUGGACCAGUGCAACAACUCCCCAUGCGUAGCUUUCACUUUGCUUCAGGUCACGAAAUGUGUCCACGAAUACCACAUGCACGUCUGUGACAUUCUUGUUAGCAAAGAGUGUGUAACCUAACAUAUGCAACAAAUAUGCUCAAGUUGUCACAGUCCACUAUGCUGCAUCACAUUUACUUUGAUAUAUGUCUCGCAGCCAGGAUAGACAAACAUAUGCCUCGUGGUAUUGUACCGUCUCAGUUCCUGCCUCUUUAGAACUUACUCAAGCAAUUCAACUAAGAGGAAGACGACAUCAUCCACAUGAACAUCCUCAAAGCUAUGGAAGACGCUUGUAUUGGACAGAUGUAACAACAAUGCCACAUCAUCCAGGGUGAUAGUCACCUCUGCUACCGGUAGAUGGAAACUACUAGUUUCCUUAUGCCACCUCUCCGCAAAAGAAAGCAUAAGUCCCCGAUCACCAGUGUCCAUCGAACAUGCGAUCAAAUGACUUAAUCUUGUGGCAGUCACUAAGCCUUCAAUCUUAGGAGCAAGCCUGCCAAAUUUCUCUACCUUCUUUCCAUAGGAGGGCAACUUCAACUCAGGAUGUUCUUGAAAAUAAAAAUAUAAAUCAUUUGAACAAUAAUAAUAAAUACUUAUGAAAAUAUUAUUAAUUUUGAAAUAUAACUAUCUCUCCAUUCCAAAUUGUCACAACCACAUGAUGAACAUAGUCCAUCAAAACUGAUGUGUCAUGAGGCCCGCUUGGAAAAUCCUUGGCAUCACUAACUACAUCAUUAGUUGGUGCCUCUUAAGGUUGUUCAUGACCUCUUUAGAAACAUGAUCCACAUGUUCAACAUCCUCAACAACAUGUGCAGGAGCGGCUUUUCGUUGCCUAUGUGCAGAUGUUGUGGGCCUUCGCCGCUUGGGGCCUUCAUCGGCAUCACGACUUACUUUUCUACAUAAUGCUCUUCCGAUAACUCUACUUAAAGUCCAACCCAAACCUCUGAUUCUAACUAUAAUCUGCACAUUAAAAUAGCCAUAAAAAUUAAUGUCAUUCUUCAAAUAAUAUUUCACUUUCAUAAAUAUAUUUUCACCAAUUUAUUAUUUAUUUUUGAAAAAACUUUUAUAUAUUCUUAAAUCAAUAUACAUUUUUUAAAAACAAAUAUAUUUAUACACUAGACAUCAGUAAUUCUAGUAAACAUAAAUAUAUGAUAAAAAUGUUACAAAUAACUAUUUCAAAUUUCAAAUAUAAUUAAUUUGCAUAAACAAAUAAGAAAAAAAUUAAUUUAUUGAAUUAAAUAAUUAUUACAAAUCAAUUGAAAAUAAAAUUAUAAUUAAUUAAUUAAUUACAUUUUUAAAACAUACAACAAUACUUUUUUAUUAAAUAAAUUUUAAAACAACUAAAUAAUUUAAUUAUUAAUUAAUUAAUUAAUUAAAAUAGAGUAAAUUAAUAUAAAUUGUCAAUCCGUAUGACUUAUACAGAUCUCCUUCUACACCCAAGAAUGACAAUGGCAACGCAAAAUAAACCAGAACACAUGAGGAAAUACUUACCACAACAAAGGAGAAAUCGAGGACAAACCACGACUGAGUGACAAUCGACACCAAUGACUGCGAACGAUGGCAGCAACGGCGAAAGAAACACGAAAGCAACAAAAAUGGCAUAGCGGAGCUAUAUGGAAACACAGAGAAGAAGGACUGCACAAGAGAAGGGAAGAUUUUUUUAAAUUCAUGUGAAAGACAUUUUUGUCAUUUCAUAUUAAUUGCUGGGUGUACCAGCAAUUCUGCAAGGUGCCGAAAGUAACUCUCCUAACAACUAGAUCCGGUGUAGCCCAAUCACCCACCCUACCGUUGGGACAUGCAAGGUGCACCCAGCAAUUAGGUGAAUGGGCAAAAUUGCCCUUGCGUUAAAAAAAAUAAUUUCUUCUUCUGGAAGAACAAUUUGUGUUCUGACGGAAGAACCUUCUUCCGAAAAGCUUACGGAAAAAGGUUCUUCCGGUAAAAUAAAUUGUUCAUCCGGAAGAACCUUCUUCCGGAGAAGUUACCGGAAGAACUUCUUCCGAUAAUUUCUCCAAAAAAAGGUUCUUCUGGUAGAAUAAAUUGUUCUACUGAGAAAACCUUCUUCCUGAAGAAGGAAUUAUUUUUUUAACACAAGGACAAUUUUACCCAUUCACCUAAUUGCUGGGUGCAUCCAGCAAUGCACCAGCAAUGUUGCUGGUGCACCUAGCAUGUCCCCCUACCGUUGGAUGGUUUUUCGUAAAUCCACAACACCCUCGUGCCUCAUCUCGUAAAAUCCGCGUCACUAACGUGCCAAAACGACAACGCUCGUUCCCGCUCGCCAUCGUUUCAAAUUGCGAACGAAUUUGCAAAAGCACACACUGUAACCGAUCCAUUCCCACAUCACACAAAAUACAAAAACUACAACUAACAUAGAAGAAGAUGAAGAAGUGAUAUCACAAUCACAUUAUCAUGGAUUCCAUUUCUAACCUUCCGCUCCUAGAGAUCGCAGGCGAAGACGAUUCGUUGCUCUUCGAUGUUUCCGCAGCGUCCACCACCGAUGUUUUCUCUUGCUCCCCUCUCCUACCUCUCAGAUCUAAUCCUCCUCAACACGGUUAGGGUUUUUCUAUUUCGUUUUCUCUUUCUCUUUUUUUUUUUGAAUUUCUGGAUUAUUUAUCAUGUAUAAUUGUUGAUUUGAUACUGAUUUGAGUAAUGCGGCUGCAGAAGGAAGAGAAGGUGGUGGCGCUGUGGAUUCCGAAAAUCAAAGAAGUUCCUCGGUUAGUGACAGAGCGAACAAAGAGAACGCGGAUUGGAACACACUGCAGAAGCUUAGCUUGGAGCCUCAGCAAAUGAAGAGGAAGAAGAAAGGAGGCGGUUACAAUUUGCGUAAGAGCUUGGCAUGGAACCGAGCUUUCUUUACUGAAGAAGGCAUUCUCUUCUCUCCAUUGUCCAUUAAUUAACUGUGAAAGAUUGAUUAACACUAAUUGUUAUUAAUUAAUUAAUUGAUUGAUUCUAAACCCUACUUUUCAGGUGUUUUGAACCCGGCAGAGCUUUCUAUUAUUAGUGGCACUGCCACUCCUAAGGCAGGGUUGAAUUUGGAAGUAAUCCUUGAAGAAGAGUCCGUUGGCACUUCGAUAGAGUUGCAGGACAUUGAAGAAAAUUUGUUCAUGCAUUCAUCCGAUGCUGUUCCUGUUGAAGAUAGGAAGAUUGGCUUAUCUCCAAAGCCUGCUGCAUUAGCUAAAGCUUCUCCGGCCCCGGUUUCCAAAGUCUGUCUUUAAUUAUACUCUUUGCACAAAUAAUGAUAGUUUAUCGAAAUUGAACUCUUUCUGAUUUCUGUCACAUAUUACUUUUGGAUACUUGUUUGUUAGGCAAAGAGGAAAGUGCUUACUGUCAAUGACUCAGUUGGCAACAGAUCCAAACGCAAUGCUUGUCCUCCACGGGUGCCAGUAGCUUCAUCCUCAUAUCCUUCCCAUUGCUUGUUUAGGAUAGAUAUUAAGUGAAGUGUCUUACAUUGUGCCUGUGCUACUGGAUUAUGUUGUCUUGUGUUUCUUUAUCUGUUGAAUAGUGGAAGAGUUUACCUUAACCCCUUUGCAAACUAAAAAAAACUGACACAGUAAAAGCUCCAAGUAAAGAAUUGAAAGUGACUAGGAUACCUGGUCCGAAAUCAGAUGUUUCUGCAAGUGCAACAACUGCCAGGAGUGGAAUGUUGACCACAGGUUCCUUGAAGAGAAAUCAGAAUGCUCGUCCUGGUUUGUUCUGCAACUUGUGUUUGUUUCUUUUUUUUAUCCUUGGAAAGUUGUGCCUUGGUGACUUGUUGGUCAUGGGUUCGAAUCCGGAAACAGCCUCUUUGCAUAUGCAAGGGUAAGGCUGCGUACAAUAUCCCUCCCCCAUACCUUCGCAUAGCGAAGAGCCUCUGGGCAAUGGGGUAUGAAGUUUUUUUUUUACUUUGACAAGACUGAAUAGGAGAGAAUCAAGAGAUAUAAUUUCAAGUACCUUUUAUUGUACUCUUGCAUAAUACAAUGUAAAAAUGGAUCAUAUAACAAAUUUAAUUUUGAUUGAGGUUUGUAAUCUCAAUGAACUUCACAAAUACAGGUUUCUCUUGAGUAACCAAACAUCAACUUCUAACCUUAACAGGAGAUGAUUUUAUUGGUUAUAUUUUGUUAAUUUUGUUUCUCUUCUACAGCCACUAAUCUUCAGAAGCAUACUGGAGUAAAAGGCCCUUCCAAAAAUCCUAAAACUGUCCCAAGUAACCCAAAAGUUGGUCUGGCUGGUAAAUGUUCAGUUACUAGAACACUUACCCAGCAGGCUGGGAAACAUUUGGUAAGGAACUCAAGAGUCUGUAAUUUUUUAACAUUCAUCACUUGCUCCAUCCAGUUUUUAAUUCCUUUUAUUUAACUAUUAGGCAUAUGAUUCAUCUCUUGAAACUGCUUGACUGCACAGGAUAACUCAGUUUCAGAAACACAUCCACCAUCUAGAAUGCAUCAAUCAGGAACUGAAGCAAAUAAGGUGUCAGAAGCUUGUCUUUCACAAGGUGUUUCUGACAUCAGUGAGAAAAGGCAACAGACACAGCUUCAAACAACAAAAUUUUCAGGCCUACGGAUGCCAUCUCCCUCAUUGGGAUUCUUUUCUCUGGUAUGUUUGUUUUAGUUGGUCCAUAUUUCAUAUUUAGGUGCAUGUAUCAGUAAAAUAAUGCUCAUAUUCAUGCUUAUUACUGCUUUUUCAGGCAAAAACUUCCAGUUCACAUAGCCAAUUACAGAAAAGUUCUAAACCUUGCAAACCUGCUAGGAGUAACAUUCCUCAAUUACAGAAUUUAGAAACAAAUUCUGUUAAUGAGGCAAGACUACCGCAUGCACCUGGAAUAAGGUCUCAAAUUGUCAAAGGUGCAGCAAAGAAUUGCACUGAGGAAUUAACCCUUUUAGAUGUAAAGUCAGAAUCAAGGAUGCAAGUGGAUAAUAAGCAGAUGGCUGGUGUAGAGGUGGAACAUAAUUCUAUGGGUUCUGAAAAAAUAAGCAAGCAAGAAAAGGUUGAAAACAAUCUUGAACAUGUCAACAUAAAACCUAAGGAACAAGGAGAACUACAUAGAAGUGAGAAUGCCUCUAGCAUGGAGAAUGUGAUAUUCCCUAGACAUGAAAAGAAGCUUCUUUCAGUGAGUCAAACUCAAGAGCAGUCAGAGAAAGAGGCUGGUCACCCUGACGUUUUGUCAAACAAGUAUCAAUCUGUGUUUCAGGAACCACAGUCUAUGGACCAUCAUGGCAUGCUGAGAAAUUCCAUAAUGACAGGUAGUAUUUCAAAUACUGUGCAUAAUGCCAUGGGACAAGAUGAAGAUGAACAAAUCAAACUGUUCGCUUGUGAUGUUCUUACUUCCAAUGAAAGUUUGGUGCUACAGGCAAAGCAUGGUACUUCUUUUAAGGGUAGUAGACUCUCUGAAGAGUUCAAGGAAUACAAUAGUGUUAAGACUGCAUUUUUAAAUUCUAGUCUUGUUGAUUUGAGUGAAACUGUUUUGGGAGGAUCUAUACAAGAAAUCCCCUUUAAGAAUACUGAACAGGUAAAUGGUGAUGCUGCUGAUUUUGUUACAAGUGGAGGAGAUGCACAAGUGCAUUUAUUGAAUGCGAAUCUCUCAGUUGAUUGCAAUGAAAGCACUGAAAGUAAUUUAGAGGCAGUUAAUCAGCAGCUACAAGGGGAACAACUCAAGACUACAAGUGCUGGUAUUGUAGGAGAAAUUAGUUCAUCAAAAGAAGACGAAUCUCAUGUAAAUAGUUGUCAACUAGUCCAUAUGACAACCUUAUCUUCCAAGGGUUCUCCUCAGAAGUCUAUACCAGAAAUCAAUGGUCCGGCUGAAACUGAACCAAAAAUAGCUGAAAUUGAAGACUGCCAGUUUCCAGUAGAUGAUCAAUCAGGUUUCAUUCAGACAAGACCAGAGUUGGAAGGAUGUGAGAAGGUUAUUGACUCAAAGGCAAUGCAUGAUAGUUCUCAAGCAUUUGAAUUGGAUAGUUUAAGUGAAGAUUGUGUGGCUCUUUCUGCACCUGCUUGCAACACUGUGGUAAGCAAUGUUUCUUGGGAAAGCAGACCUUUUCAAGAGAAUAAUGUAGAGAUUCUCCAUUUUACAUCCCAACUAUGUCCAGUGGUAAAAGUUGAUUUUGAUCCGAGUAAAAAUGAAAUGUCAACCAAUAGCUGCCGUAUGAUUUCUGAGUUGCAGCUUGGAGAUGAGGAUUCUUCUAGGGAUGUUUCAAUGCACUAUGAUGUUCCGAUUGAUGUCCCUGGAAACUUUGAGCAACAAAUUAAUAAGAAUAUAUAUUCUAAAGCAAGCGAAAUGCUUUGUGAAGGUGAGAGUUUAGUACUAAAUCAUGGUCACUUGCUUGAUCAAAGUGAAUUUUCUGAAGAAUUAUCUGCAGAUUUCAUUUCAAACACCAAAGAUUCUAUAAGUACUGUUGCUGGAAAAUCCUCUGGCUGUUUACAACAUACACUACCAGCUCAGUUAUCAGUACUGUUGGAUGGUGACUGGCUGCCCACAAAUACUGCUUCUUCUGAAGAAAUCAAGAAAACAAAUUUAUCUGAGAGUGCAUUAGAAGGAUGUGAUAUCCAUACAAGUGAGCGCAAUGCUUCUAAUUAUCAUAUUCAGGCUAUGCCUGAAAUUAAAGAUGGAAAUAUUGAUGUGGAUGAAAGGGAAGAGCUUUUACGAAUUGAUGAUUCAAAAGAAGGUUCUUCUGACAUAUUGCCAUUAGUUGAAGCUCAACUCAAUGACAACGUGAUAUCUUCUGAAUGCAAUUCUUCUAUAGAAGUGAGCAAAGAUUCUUUUACAGACAUAGUUGCUUGGAAAUCUGAGGAGGAUUGUUCUUUGAGUCAAAGUUCAAACUUCCCGGCUUCAGAUAAUUUAACCUUCAACACAGGAAUCCCACAGGUCUGUUAAGUUAGUCCAUUGAAAACUAAAAAAAAUUCAGAUGAAGCUGAAAAUUGAAUUUAAAAUUUUAAUAAUUAAUUUUUUGGUAUAUUUUUGUUGAAUGUUAGUCAAAUUGUUUCUGUUGCAUGUAGAAGUUGAAUCAAAAUUCCCCCCAUGGAGAUUGGCCGGAUACUGUUUCUGCAACUGCUUGUGACACAAAGGUAAACAAUGUUUCUCAAGAAAGCCAACCUUGUCAUGAGAAUGAUGUAGGAGAUCUCCAGUUUACAGCCCAACUAUCUCCAAUGGUGAAAGCAGAUUUUGAUUCCACAGAAAAUGAUAUAUCAACUAAUAACUGCUGUACCAUUUCUGAGUUGGAGCUUAGAGAUGAUGGUUCUUCUAGGGAUGCUUCAAUGCACUAUGAUGGUCAAUGUGGUGUCACUGGAAACUUUGAGCAACAAACUAGCAUGAUUACAUAUUCUGUAGCUAAUGAAAUGCUUUGUGAAGAUGAGAGUUUAGUGCUAAGUCAUGAUCACUUGGUUGAUCAGAGUGAUUUUUCUGAAGUAUCUGCAGAUUUCGUUUCAAACGCCAAAGGUUCUAUUGGUAGUGGAGCUGAAAAUCCCUCUGGCCAUUUACAACAUACAAUAUUGACUCCAUUAGUACAAGAAUUUGAUCACACCAACAGAGAGACUGAGGAAUCACAUCUGGAAAAUGCACAAGUGCAGUCAUUUACUGAAAAUCCAGUGGCAUACCACUGCAGCAGUAAACACAGUCUUGUUACUGAUGAUAAAUUUCCAUUGGCUGAUAACAAUGAUAUAAAUGAAGAUUCUCAUCUUUCUGAUUUUCAAAGGCUUGGUGCUGUUGUUGGUGUAGAUUCCCAGAAUGCUGAUAACAUACUUAUUGCUUCUUCUCAAGAAAUCAAGAAAACAAGUUUAUCUGAGGGUGCAUUAGAAGGAUGUGAUACCCAUACAAGUGAGCACAAUGCUUCCAAUCAUCAUAUUCAAGCUAUGCCUAAAAACAAAGAAGGAAAUCUUGAUGUGGAUGAAACAGCAGAGCUUUUGCAAAUUUAUGAUGCAAAAAAAGGUUCUUCAGACAUAUUGCCAAUAGUUGAAGUUCAACUCAAAGAUUCCCAGAAUGUUGAUGACUUACUGCACUUAGAUGGUGAUUGGCCUCCCACAAAUUUUGUCUCUUCUGAAGAAUUCAAGAAAACAAAUUUAUCUGAGGGUGCAUUAGAAGGAUCUGAUAUCCAUUCAAGUGAGCACAAUGCUUCCAAUCAUCAUAUUCAGGCUAUGCCUGAAAACAAAGAUGGAAAUCUUGACGUGGAUGAAAGAGAAGAGUUUUUGCAAAUGGAUGACGUGAAAAAAGGUUCUUCAGACAUAUUGCCAUUAGUUGAAGUUCAACUCAUUGACAACGUUGUAUCUUCUAAAUGCAAUUCUUCUAUAGAAGUGAACAAAGACUCUGUUACGGACGUAGUAACUUGGAAAUCAGAGGAGCAUUGUUCUUUGAGUGAAAGUUCAAACUUACCAGCUUUAGAUGAUCUAACAACCUUCAACACAAGAACCCCACAGGUCUGUGAAGUUAGUUCAUUGAACAGUACAAUUUUUUUAGAUGAAGCUGAAACUGAUAUCUUUGAGAAAGAUGAGUUUCCACAUACCGACAUGCAGCACCAGUCAAAUGGCAAUAUUAAUUCUGCAGAAGACAGCAGCAAAAUAAUUCGUUUGUGAGUAUCUUAGUUCUUGAUGAUAUUUGAUCAAUUACGCCUUGGAAUCCUUCCACUUGACAAAUUGAGUGAUAUUUUAUUAAUUUUUUGAAUGGCAGGGAGGAUUCUGUAACUAAAUGCAAGCAAGAAGUUCCUACAGUGAAGCCUCCACCAAAUGCUGCUCCGUUUUCGGAUGAAUGGUUAGCUGCAAUUGAAGCUGCGGGAGAGGUGACUAAGAUUUCUUGACUGCACCUGCAUAUUUUAUGACUGAUUAAUAAGUUUUUGCAUGGCGUGGUGUUUCAUGCCACUUAAGUGUUGUUUUCCUAUUUUUAAUUCUUACGUUGCUUUUUUUUGGGCUUUAAACAUUAAUCCUUUUUUUUCAAUAUUACCUUUUUAGUAUCUUUUGUUUAAUGUUAACUUAGUCAAAUUUACAUUAAAAAAUAAAAACUUAGUCAAAUUGUUUGUAUUGCAUAUGGAAGUUGAAUCAAAUUUUUUUGUUAGAUUUAGCUGCACAAUAUCAUAUAUAGACCAUUAGUUCUUUGACAUGUGGUAGAUUAUUUUUCGAUGUUUAGAUUCAUCUUACACCUCGUGUUUACAGGAGAUUUUAACGAUGAAAAGCGGUGCUGUACAAAAUUCUCCUCCUGACAAGCCUCAGCAAGAACCAGGUCCUUGGUCCCCGGUAGGUUCAUUCUUCAGUAUCUAAUUCUGAUUCAAAUUAUAAGCACAAAGCUCUAGCGUGAACAGUUGACUUUUUUUUCUUCCUUAAAUUGGAUACUGAAGUAUAAGAUUUUUUAUUAUUAUUUUAUCAGCAAAUGUUAGAUGUUAAUAAUUUGGUAGUUUUUGUUAGCGAAAAGACUCGAAGUCAACCUAUUUUUUCUUCCCUUCAUCCUUUAUCACCAGGUCAACUUUGUAUCUCCACUAAAGUAUAAGAUGACACCAUGCCUAGGGAUUCUCUCAUCUGAAUUGUGUUUAGAUCAGUAUCUCUCUUUUCACGGUUUAAAUAUUGAAAACCCCGUCAAUAUUUGUAAACAUUCAUGGAAAGAUGCGACGCAGAAGUUUUGACCUAACGAGGUCACACGAAAAAUCUAACGUGAGCUUUAUUUUCUACAAACAGCACAACCUAAAAGAACUUAUAAAAAAAAAAACCAAGCAUAAAGCAAGCCAUCCACUUCCACUGCUACAGUGCCUGUGAUUCUAAAUGGUGCAUCAUGUCUUUUGUUGUUUCAGAAAAUAUGAAAAAUAAACAGAGGGGACAAACAUCGUUUAUUGUAGAUGUUCCCUGGACCAGAAUGGGAAUAUUCUCUAUACUGAUUUUAUCCUCUUCAAUGGUGGCAGGGGACAGCCUCUGCCUGCUCUAUUAAAAUGGGAUAUUUUGCAAUCUCUUUUUUCCCGUAAUCAUCUCUACAGAACUCAAUGCUUCUUAACUUCAAAAGAUGUAAUUUGCAUGAGAACAGCAUUUGAUAUUGGUAUUCCUGUGAUCAUUUAACCCAUUAGAAUUAGGAUGACAAGAAAGUUCGUGGAGUUGUUCGCAUCCUUAUUCCUUUAUAAUGCCUUUUCCUUAGCUUUACACCAAUGUAACAUCAAAAUCACCCCAAUUUCUUGGUUGGCUUUAAUGUCAUGAUAAUCAACUCAGAUUCGCUUCAUUCUUUAUUGCUAACUAUAAUCUUUUCUAGUUGAACAUCUUAAGAAGUUGCAUUGUUACUGUUACUUCCCCUAUUUCGUUUGUUGUCUCUUUAUCUCUAUGCUUUGUAUUUUGAUGGUAUAUUAUUGUGAUUUGCGAGUAUUUAAUUUAUAUGUUUCAUUUUGGUUUGCAGGUGAGACGUAAGAAUCAAUCGAUUGGACCCUUUGAUUGUACCAAACACAAUAUCCAGCAUUCCAGUCCAUAAUGAUAUAAAACUGGGAUUUAAUCUUUAUUAAUCACUAACCAUUUUUUCUUUGCUUGAAACAACCCUUCAGCUUCAGAAGUUUGAAGACGUUGUACGGAGCAAAGUGCUACGCAUGUAGAAUUGCCCAUUGCCACAUUUAUGUCUUACUCUGAAGAUACUUAAUAAAUAAAUAAAUCAUAAACUGAUUGUUGUCAAAUUGUAAAUUAUAUUUUUGUACUAGUUUUUACUUUAUAGAACUCUAGUUUUUGAAGUUUCCCACUAGGUAUAAGAUGAGACUAAUAUACUUUGUUGCCCCCAUAAAACUCUAGUUCUUUCAUCACACUUUCCUUUCUCUAUGUUUUUUUUCUUUGUCUUUUUAAUGAAUUUUUUUGGAAAAAGAUUUAGAUAUCUUGUCCAUUUUUACAAAAAAGAAAAAGAAAAAGAAUUUUCACAUGUUAAAGAAUUUAGUUUCUACAGGCUCGUAAAACUCAUUAUUAUUUAAUGAUAUGUUACUACAAUAUUUAAUAAACUUAAACAUAUUUUUAUGUACUGUUAAACUUAUUAAAUAAUGUAACGACAUAUUAUUACAUAAUAAUAACGCAAAAUUCUUUUAUAUUGACAUGCGUUUAAGUUAAACUAUUGUGCUUCCUAAAAACUUCACCCUUUCAAACAACCCGAGAUUGAGAAUUAUAAAAAGCUUUCAUCCUGACCAUGAGAGAUAAAAGAAGAAUUCUGAAAAGAUAUCAAGUAAUGCAUUCCCUCAAGCGUUAAGCCUUUCUGUUUGCACAUCUCGUGUAGCCAUUCCAAGUAGCAUUUUUUUUGUUGACUUAAACUCUCUUCUAGACCCCUCUGGAAAACCAUAAUUGACCUCAUUUCUUCACUAACCAGGUGUGAGAGUAAGUAAUAAUUUGGAAAAGGAGAAAGGAACACGGAUAUCUCUUCUAUUUCUUCCCAACAAGAAAUGGGUGCUUUUCUAAAAAGCUGACUUAUCUGACUCGUAUUAUUACAGAAACAUCGCAAUAUAAAAUCCAUAAAUCACGCAUUAAACUAUGAAAAGUCAUCAUGCAUUCAAUUUUCUAACCAUAAAGGAAGUACUUUUCUAAAAAAAAAAGGCUCACUGAAUUUAAAUCCACUAUACAGAUAAUAUAGCAGAAAAUAGCUAAAAUCAAGGUAGCAAUAAGUUACGAUGCAAAUAACUUAAGUAAAAUACAUGAUGAACCCGAGAAAACAGUCACAAAAGAAAAUAAAAAUAAUAAUAACCCGUCAGGGUUAAAAAAAAUUGGAGAUUAAUAUCGUUACUUGGCACUUUACAGCAGAAGGACACUCAUCAAGCCGUAAUUGCACCUACCUAGUCACACAGAUUGAAUAAAUUACCUAGGGAGUUUGAUCGGCAACAAGGUUGAAUUUUCAUUCAACUUGAUCCUUUCGUGAUUGUAAGAACUGAACUUAAAGUGAUUAAAAAAAUUGAAAACGAAUUAUUAUUUUUCCUUCUAAGCCUGCUUCAAGUCCUUGAGUUUUUCUGCUUUAAGCAUACUCAGGAUUGAGUGCUAAUGCUUCCCUGUAGAUCAUCUCUUUUAUUUGCUCUUCAUCCAAUUGUUGUUGCUCAAAAUCAAAUGAAAAUGGCUCCAUGCAGAUUGGUUCAUCAGCUACAUCAUGCAGUUUUUCAAGGUAUGGAUGGGCUAGUGCUUCUUCAACUGCCAAUAUUUAAACAAAAUAGAAAUGAAAAUUUGCCAAAAUUUAUUCCAUAUGUAAGCUUCAGAUAUCAUCACUGUUCAAAAUGAAACUGCAUGUUGCUUCAUCAAGCUGCAGAAACAUAAAAGAAUGGGAAAAGUACCUGUAAUUCUUUUGGUGGGAUCAACUGUCAACAUUUUAUCAACAAGAUCAAUGGCUGCCGGAUGAACAUGGGGGAAGACUUGAGCUAAAGGUUGGCGAGGAUAUUGAGGAAGUUGUCUGAUAUAUCUUCUUGCAUCUUCAUUUUUCACUAACCCAAGGUCAGCCUCAGUUGGGGUGCCAAGAAGCUGUGGAUAAGAAAAGAAGACUAAGCAUUGAACCAGAAUUACCUUCUAUAAUUAAAUUAUUGAUUAUAUUCAUGGUAUUAAUUAACUUGAACUAUAUGAUCAUCAAGCAUUUAAUGCAAUUUUUUACAUCAAUGUUUAAUUUUAUAUUUUCAAUCUCACCUCUGUCAAUAAGCGCAUCUGAUGCACAUGGUCUUUGCCCGGAAACAGAGGCUUUUUAUUCAUAAGCUCCAUAAAGAUGCAACCAACAGACCACACAUCUAUAGCAGAGGUGUAAUCAGAGGAAUUCAACAACAAUUCGGGAGCUCUGUACCAUCUUGUGACUACAUAUUCUGUCAUGAAGUCACUUUCCAAAGUUGGUCUCGCAAGACCAAAAUCAAUAAUCUUCAAGUCACAAUUUGAGUUUAGCAGCAGGUUGCUUGGUUUUAAAUCUCUAUGGAUUACGUUUGCAGAAUGUAUAUACUUAAGCCCACGAAGAAUCUGGUACAAGAAGUACUGCAAGUAAAAGAGCAUACAAUCAUCAGCAAAACAAAAAAAAUCCAAAAUGUAAACAUAAUAAUUAUGAUAUAUUUAAAAAAAAAAUUGAAAGCACUCACUUGAGAGUGCUCCUCUGACAGAUUUUGAUUGGAGCGAAUGAUAUGGUGAAGAUCAGUAUCCAUGAGUUCAGUGGCUAUGUAGACAUCAUUAAACUCUCUACGCAAGGGUGGAGGAAUUACAUCUCUCAAACCAAUUACCUGUUAUAAAAACACACAUUUUAAUCACAAUGAAAUAGACAACAGUGUGAACUCUUUUAUUAAUGUGGACUUGGCUAACUUUUAACUACAGUUUAAAUUAAAUUCAAUGUUUGAAUAGAAAAAGUUUAUAACUAAAUCCCAGUAUCAUGUCAUCAUGUGUUCCACAAAUUAGGAAGUCAUGGUCAAUUGGGAGAUGUGACUUGAGUCUAUUAAAUCCCUACAAACGUAUCACCACUCACCACAUGUAUUUUACUGCCAUAGUGGCAUUUUAUGUAGCUACAACCUUUUCUAAAAAGUUGAACGAUUCACAACAAUUUUGGUUUUAAUUUUAGAGAGCACUGAAAUUGUUAAAAAAAUUUACAUUAUAAUUCAAUCAUAAAUCAUAAAAUGUCUGGAAAGUUAUGUUUGCUGAUUUUUAUAAAAAAUUAUUUUAACAAUCAUAUAAAAAAAAUAUUAGACUCUUAAUUUUAAUUGACUAAUUCAUGAAAAAGUAUGUUACACUACGUGGCAUAAUCAAAACAGUGUAAUGAAAGAAAUUUCCACCAACCAAAACAAAGCACGAAUUGAUCAUUGGUACCAUAUGAUACGAUAAUAUCUUUAAGUCAAACUUAGCUAAAGGAGAGCACUCACAUUUUCAUGAUCCAAAUGCCUAAGAAGCUUAAUCUCACGAAGCGUACGCUUAGCGUCCAUGUGAUUGUCGAAAGCGUUCGCUAUCUUCUUAACCGCCACCAGCUCAUUCGUCUCGGUAUUCAACAGCGAGCUUCAAAAAUUACAUCAACAUAUUCAGAUUUCUCAAUUUUACAAAUAAAAAAAAAAGUCAACGCUAAACAAUAAACACUCAGCACUAGCUAACAGAUUAACAGUUCACUCAAAAUCAAAUCCGAUUCAUCGAGAACGAAAAUCGAGAAUCAGAGAAACGCACAAUUUCUUAAUUAUAUCAAUCACGUCUUCGAAAAUCACAUGGACGCUAAGCAUACAGCUCCCAGCUCCGUGAGAUUGUGGACAACUAACUAACAACUAACAUUUCUCAAUAAAAUAAAUAAACCGCGUUUUCAAAAAACAAAAUAAAUCGAAGAAAACGAACGAGCAGUACCAAACGAUUCCAUACGCGCCGCGUCCGACAGGCAUGAUCGGAGGACGGUACUUCGCCGUAACCUCGAAGAGGUUUCCGAAUAUGUUGUACUGAAUGAACUGUCCGCCGUGCGUUGGAGUCGCCGGAAAAUCGGCGACGCCGUUCGGAUUAACUCCGGCCAUCAGUUUCUCUCUCUAGAAACGGUACGGAGAAGAGCGCUUCUCUCUCUCUUCUCACUGUCGAAGCAGCAGCAGAAGAAGCAGCAGCGCGCUUUCUCUCUCUAUAACAAACUUUCUCUCUCUAGAAACCGUCAAAGUAAAAACGAGAAGAAGAAAGAUGAAGAGGAUGGAGAGAGUGAAAGGAAGAGGUUUUUAAUUUAAAUAGUGUCCACGAGGAGCGAGCGAGUCAGUCACCGAGUCAGUGCGUGUGUACGUUCGUACGUGUGAGUGAUUUUUAUUUUGCUCGGUCAACUCGGCCGGGUAAGCACUAACACGUUGAUGAGUCUUCACACUUUCGGAGCAGGUGCCACGAAGAAGGUGCGAAAACGCGCCAGGGGAAGAAAAAUUAACGAAACGAACCACACGCUCACACGUGUGACGCGUUCCGAACUUAAUCCAACGGCUCAGAUCGUAGCCGCCUCUGAUCUACGGACCUCGUUUGUUCAAUUAUUUCAACAGCCAUCAACCUUUUCUUUCCUCUAUUAUUACGUAAUUUGUAUGCUCGUCAAAGCCACCUCGUGUAUUUUUUAAACUAACGUGAGAUAUAAUAAUAAAUAUCAUAAUAGAAUGAUGUUAUUGUCCUCAGCUAGCCAGAAGAAAACAGAAUAAUUGAGUCAGAAGCGUGUUAGCAUAUGUGCAAAUUUUGACUCAUGCCCAUGUCUAUGUAUAAUAUAAGGCUAUAAGACCCUUUCAGUCACCCAAAAUAAUAAUUUUGCUAAAAUUAUUGUUUUCUUGAGGAUAAUAAUUUCUGCAAAUAAUUAAUUGAUUAGGUUAAUAAAGAAUUUUAUUUGUUAAUCUCUAACUGACUACUACUUUUUUUAUAUAACUAACAACUACUUGUAAUAAUAUCUCCGCUAAGAAUUUUUUUAAGCAAAUUACACUGAUGCCUUUGAGAUUUUUUCAAAUUACACGUAAAAACACUUUUUUUAUCCCUUUAUACACUAAUCUACUGUAUGUUUAAAAAUAUUAUAUUGAUACUCUUCCAGUAUGUUACCUUAAUAUCUACUUAAUGUUUAAAAAUAUUGUAUUGACAUUCUCUUAUAUAUUAUACCAACAACCUUUACAAAAAUAAGUUACUGUAAUGAUUACAAAAGUUUAGAGGUAUUUGUGAAAUUUAAUGAAACUUUAGAAGUGAAUAAUGUAAUUUGCUAUUUUUUUAUGAAAUUGCCAUAAAAUAUGAUUAUGUAAAACUUAAUCACUACAAGAAAAAAAUGUUAUUAUCGACGAAAUAUUUCUCACUAAAAAUAAUCCAUCAAAAAUAUUAAAACUCCCGACAAACUAUAUUUUAUCUAAAAAUAUUAAAUUUCCAACGGAUAUAUAUUUUGUCAGAAAUAUCCUUUGAAAAGUUGAAAUUAUCUUUUCUGUGGUUUUCCUGCUUCCAUUUUUCAACUCUGGGUAGGUACUGAUUCAUGUCUUCUUUCUUGUGCUUACGUAUGCCGUAUCCAUGUUAAGUUGCCCACCACAUUGAAACUCAAAUUCAGUCCAACACUAAAGGACUCUAAGCAAUCUGAGAUUGGUUCCAAUCUAGUUCUGCUUGGUUGUUGCAGAAGAGAAGUGAGAUUGCGUUUCACAGCUUAUUUAACUUUGAUUGUGUUAUGCCAAUUGUUGAGUAUCUAACCUUUGAAUUUUUGUAUAAAGGAAAGCAAGUGCACGAGUCCCAUAGCUAUACUCCAGCUACCUAAGGGUCAAGUGAGUUUUAUAUUCCUAUUUUCUGUUAUGUGUUUUUGUUGGCUGAUCACUUUCAGUGCUUGAAUGACUGAAUGAGCAUGCCAUGCCUGAAGUAAUUGAUUAUGUGGCUGAUGUUUGUUUGGUAAAGAAUUGUUUCUAGCAUCCCUUCGUCUACAUUAGUACUUCUUUUGUCAUUCUAUGUAUGUUGUGUAUGAUAUCAUUCUUAUUUCUUAUCAUAGACAUUGGCAAAUGGCAAUUUUAGUUUGUUGGACAAUUUUGUAAUUAUUAUUAUUAUUUUUCUAAUUUUUGGUUUCUCGGAUAUUAUUGGCUGGAACAACCUUUGUGGAACUAGUAGGUCCAAUCCAAGAUAAAUAUCUAUUUAUCUCCUUCUUUUUUUAAUUUGAAGAAGCAUAUUAGUGUCUGUGUGUGUUUCAGUUAGGGUAUUUUUUUUUUUGUCAUAUAAAAUAGUACUAACGUGUAUGUUGAAGAAUAACAUAUAAUGUCUUAAGAUUGAAUCAAGAAAUAGCCUAGUAAUAAUUUUGAUUAAACACUUUGAAAAUGUUAGCUCUUUUGGUCCUCUGUUCCAGUUUGAUAUUUUUGUUAUUAUUUUUCAAAUUACAUUCCACUUACUUUAUACAUGAUCGGAGACUUUGAAAGGCUUAUUUGUCACCCGUAAUUGAAGUUUGCUACACGGACAAUAGUGUACCAAGUAUCAACACUUACCUCGUUCUUCUGUGCCCAUUAAAUUUGUAUGUGUAUGCGGUUGAGUUCCUAGUUUGUUUAAUUUCUUUAUUAGUUUAAUUAUUAUUUUGAUCGUGAUUAUAGUGUAAACUUUAUUGGUUUUACUCUAUACAUAAAGGUUAUAUUUAACAAACAAGUCAUUUUUACUAUUUUAAUCGAGUCUGCCAGAUUUUUAAACUGCUAGUAUAAAUUAUCAUUUUAGUGGUUUCAAGUUAUCAUAAACUAAUCUUAAGGACAUGUUUUUCUAGUUUAGGAAUUAAAUUAAAAAAUAUUAGUUUAACGAGAUGCUUAAAUUUUUUUAAUAUAAUUUUAGGAUGAACUAAGUAAUUUAACUUAUAAUUAUACAUAAUAAAAUGAAAAUUGUUUAUCGUGGGCCGUAACCCUAACAUACAAAUUGCCUAGUUUGGUUGAUUGCAAUGAUUUGAUACAAACCAAGCCCGAAUUAUAAAGGACAUGUCAGGAUAGCAAAUUCGUCGUAUUAAUUGUUUAAACAUAGCCAUAGACUAUAAACAUAUUUAGUUCAGUUAAUUAUCUUAUAAGUUUUACAUGCAGUUUAAGUUUCAAGAUAUGCUGUAGAAAUUUUUACUUUUCUAGUAUUUUGUUUCAACUGGCGUGGAAAGACUGUUUUUUUCAUUAAAUAUUAUUGUUUAAUAAAUAUAUUUAAUGAAUAAUUAACUAAGCAGAUUAUAUGUUUAUUAUGCAAUUUUGAUAAAAAAAAAAAAAAAAUUAGUAGACAUAAGUUGAAUCAUUGUCUUAAUCAUUUUCUUUUUCCUUUUUUUUAUUAAUAAAUAUAUGUUACAAAUUUCAUCACUUGGUAAAGGAAUGAAAGUUAACGAUCAAUCUCUAAAUACGAUUUGAGAUAUCAAUAUUAAUAUAUGUCAUCUUCAAGAUAUCAAUAGUAACGUAUGCCAUCUCAAUCUUCUUUUGACUUUUUUUUUUUACUUUUGAUUUUCAAUUCAUUUACCACUUAAUGUUUAUUUUAUAAUGUUUGUUAAUAGUCAGAAGAGUUUGGUCGAUGUGCAUGCAAAUUCAUUUACAAAAAGAUACUGGUCAAUUUAUCGAUGAUAGAUCUAUGCAGAUACAUGUGAAACUUAAUCACUACAAGAAAAAAUGUUAUUAUCGACGAAAUAUUUCUCACUAAAAAAUAAUCCAUCAAAAAUAUUAAAACUCCCGACAGACUAUAUUUUAUCAAAAAAUAUUAAAUUUCCAACGAAUAUAUAUUUUGUCAAAAAUAUCCUUUGAUAACCAUUACUCCCAUCAAAUAGCAGUCAACCCUAGAAACUUCUCCUAUUAAGUCCAAUUACAAUUUAGUCCUUAAUCGUUAAUUAUUUACUUAUUAGUCCCUACAUAAGUCACAUGCCUCUCACAUGAGACAUAAAUUCUAACAUUCUCCCACUUGGCUCAUGUGACAUUAAUAAAAAUUAUGGACUAAAUAAAUAAAUAGAUUAACUAACAUAAUGCGCAUUAAAAUUGACUAAAUUGUUCUAUACAUUGGGUACAUCAUAAUUUCAUGAUUAAGAAUAGGAACCAAUUUGAGUCAUGGCGGUUGUACAUCAUCUAAUCGACAUAGUCCCUUCCAUGUACUACAAAUUAGUCUUCUCCUUAAUGUGACCAUUAGUUAGGAGUACAUAAUUGGUCCAACAUAAUGUCUUCAUUCAAGACAAAACCUGUUAACAUUACUCUAACACAAACAUGCAUGCAAACAUAAAGAACAGGUAAUCAGAAACAUAUCAUAAUUGAGCUCAGAGUGUCAGCAAAAUUACAUAAGGUAAAUUACACUUAAUGAUCAUCAAUAACAAUAAUGUCCAUACUUUCAACAUGUUCUAUAAUGUCUUGGGAAAUAAUCUCUUAUUCAAAGGGUCAACUAUCAUAAGGUUUGUGCUAAUAUGUUCUAUUGACACUCUUUGUUUCUGAACUCCUUCCUUCACGACAAAGUACCUCAAUUUUAUAUGCUUAGCACCCUUAGAGUACUUGUCGUUCUUACAAAAAAAUAUUGUUGCGGAGUUAUCACAAUACAUUUUCAGCGGCCUAGCAAUACUGUCGACAAUUCCAAGCCCUGAAAUAAAGUUUCGCGACCAAUUAAUCUGAACUGUAGCCUCAAAAUAUACUACAAAUUCAGCUUUCAGAUGCAACAACAACUGAUGCAUACAAAAUAGCUUUCAUUUAUUUUCGUUCCAUAUCAUUUCUAGGACAUUCUGCGAGACUAAAUUAGUCUCCCUUCUAAAUUAGAAUAGGUGAUGUUAAAUACCUUUCCAUCUUGAAUCUCUCUAGUACUUUAUCGAUAUAUAUACUUUCUGAGAUAAGUCUGACAAUCCUUGUGAUCUAUUAUGGAAUAUUUCUAUCCCAAUCACAUAGCUUACCUCACCCAUAUCUUUCACUUCAAAGUUUCUAGAGAGAAAUUUCUUAGUCUUAUGAAGAAGACCAAGAUCGUUAGUUGCAAGCAAGAUAUCACCAAUAUACAGAAUUAGAAAAAUAACCUUACUCCCACUGACCUUCAGAUACAUACACUGAUAGACAGUAUUUGCCUUAAAUUUAAAGGAAACAAUGACAUCAUUAAACCUCAAAUACCAUUGGUGGGAAGGUUACUUUAAGACUGUAUAUUGAUUUCUUUAGUUUGCACACUAUGUGUUCCUUUCCUUCAACUGAGAACCCCAUUGGUUGGUCCAUACAAACAUUCUCCUCUAAAUCUCCAUUAAGAAAGGCAGUUUUCACAUCCAUCUGAUGUAGCUCCAAGUCAUAAUGGGCUACUAAUGCCAUAAUAAUCCUGAAAGAAUCAUUUUGUGAGACCGGUAAAAUGUCUCUUUAUAAUCAAUGUCAUCUUUCUGAGUAAAUUCCUUAGCAACAAGUCUAGCCUUGUAACGUUCAAGGUUGCCAUGAGAGUCACGUUUAGUCUUGAAGACCCACUUACAACCAACUCUCUUACAACCCUUUGGUAAUCCUACAAGGUCCCAAACUCUAUUAUGUUCCAUGGAAUUUAUCUCUUCUUUCAUGACAUUUAACCACUUCUCAGAAUUAUCACAACUUAUAGCUUGUGAAAACAAAACUGGAUCAUUAUCAUUAAUGCUUAAGUUUGUUUUUGUUUCAUGUAGGAAUACCACAUAAUCAUUCGAAAUAGCUGGUCUCCUUUCUCUUUGAGACCUCUUUAAUGUUACUUCUUGUGGUUCUUCCAUAAUAGGUUCAUUAUGCAUCAUGGGUUCAUUAUUGUGUUGCUCCUCUUCAUUAAUUUUGUAGCAAUAACUGAAGGAGCAAUCACCUUACUGUUAGAGGCAUAUGCUAAAAGGACUUACACUCUAACUUCUUUAAUUUCCAUUUCUCGUGGAACUGUACUCCCACUGAUUUCAUCAUUUCCAAUGAACCUUGCAUUUCCAGUUUUGACAAUUCUCAUACUAUGAUUAGAACAAUAAAACAUAUAUCCUUUUAACUUUUCUGGAUAACCAAUUAAAUAUCCACUGAUUGUUCUUGCAUCCAAUUUUCUUUCUUGCGGAUUAUAAAUCCUUAUUUUUGCCUGGCAACCCCAAACAUGCAGGUGCCUUAUACUAGGUAUCCUAUUUGUCUACAGCUCAAAAGGUGUCUUUGGAACUACCUUACUAGGAACCCUGUUCAACAACUACAUGGCAGUUUUCAAGGUAUACAUCCACAAGGAUAUGGAUAAAGUCUAAUUGAUUAACAUACUCCUAACCAUAUCCAUUAAAGUUCUAUUCCGUUUUUCUGAUACACCAUUUUGUUGUGGUGUACCGAGAAUUGUGUAUUGCACACAAAUGCACGUUUCUGAACAAGCUUAGCAAAUGGACCUGGGUGUUGCCCAGUUUCAUCAUAUCUUCCGUAAUACUCAUCACCUCUAUCAUAUCUAAUAAUUUUCACAUUUCUGUCUAAUUGCCUUUUUACUUCAUUCUAGUAAAUUUCUAUGGCAUUCAUUGCCUGAGAAAUCUCAGGCAGUAAGUAGACAUAACCAUAAUGUGAAUAAUUAUCAAUAAUGGUGAUAAAGUAUCUUUUCUUUCCGAAAGAACUAAUAUCAAAAGGUUCACAAAUAUCAGUAUGCACAAUUUCAAGAAGCUGAGUGCUUCUUGUAGCUCUUUUCUUUGUAUGUUUUGCUUGUUUUCCCUUAAUACAACCCACACAAAUAUUUAGAUCCGUAAAAUCUAGAUAAGGAAGAAUUUCAUUCUUUAUUAAUCUUUCCAUCCUUUCUCUAGAAAUGUGACCUAAACGUUUAUGCCACAAGAAAGCAUAUCGUUCAUUCACUAAACUAUGUUUAGUGCCAACAUUAUGAUGCAGAGUUAAAACAGUUUCAGCAUACAAACUGUCUAUUUCCAAUUUAUAUAAACCAUCACAAGAAUACCAGUACCAAUGAGAUGAUUAUGCUUAAAUAAAUUGAAACAUCCAUUACCAAAAUUAAAAGAGUAUGCAGUAACUUCAAGUUUAGAUAAUGAAACUAAAUUCCUAGAUAAACUAGGUACAUAAGGAGUUUCCAGUAAAUCUAAACGAUGUCCAGUGUUGCGUUUUAAAUAAUAAGUUUCAACUAUUUCCACUAGAGCUUUCACUUCAUUCCCUAUGAAAAUGAACUUCUCAUUUGAGCUUAUGGUUUGGAUUGUAAGGAAUCUCUGCAUAAUGUUAGAAACAUGAGUCAUACAUCCAGAAUUAAUCCAUCAUGUAUCAUGGGAAACUACAGUUAAGUUUGAUUUAAAACAUACAUGAGUAUUAAGCUCACCAUUCUUUUCGAACCAAGACUUACAUUUUAGACAAUCCUUUUGGAAAUGUCUUAAUUUCACAAAAUUGACAAUUAUUGCCCUUUGAUACCUUUCUUCUGGAUUUGCAAAGAGUCGUCAUUAUUCUUUAAUGACCCUUUGCCUUUAUCAUGCUUCUUCAUAAAUUUCUUUUCAAGCUCCUUGAUUCCCUUGAUGGCUAACAUAAUGGACUAAGUGACUUCCUUGAUUCUUAAGCCUCGUUUCUUUCUGAACUAACAUACUGUGCAAUUCAUGCACAUUCCAUUUAUCUUUCAUGGUAUUAUAGUUCAUUUAGAACGGGCCAAACUCAGACGGUAAUGAGUUUAGAAUAAACUGAACAAGAAAGUUCUCAUUCACAGCCAUUAUAUUCCCAAGGUCUUAAGUCUUGCUGCAAUGUUUGUCAUCUCAAUGACAUGUUCAUACAUAGUACGUGAACCAUUAAACUUCAUGGUGGUCAAUGUACUCAUUAAUGUCCCAACAACAGACUUAUCAGCUGUUUGAGAAUACUCUCCUACUAAUCCCAUAAAUUUUUUAGCACUUUCGAUUUUAGGGAGAGUUGUCUUAAUACUUUCUCAACAUUAGGCUGAGUCUGUUAGAUCUUUCCCAAGUUUUAUAAUGAACUUUCUCUUCACUGCUACUAACAUCAAUAAUAGUAACAAACUUCUCUUCCAACAUAGCAAGAUCAUGAUCCAAAACACUAAGGUGAAAUUGAACUUGCUCAUUUCUGUCAGAGAAGUUAAGCCCAUUAAAAUUGGCUCAGAUGAUACAUAAGAAUCCAAUGAAUUCAAAACAUGUAUUACAUAAUAAAAUUCACAUAAGUGUUUUGAGACAUAAAAUACAUGUCAUACAUAUAAUUCAUUCAGAUAACAGUCAAUGUAUAUUGAUGUUCUCCUUUGGGUGAUACAUCAACACACAACAUACAAACAUAAUGAUGCUAAUAAAAUUUUAACAUUAUUUGGCAAUUAAAUAUGCACCAAUUAGUAGUAUCUAUUUCCUUUGGGCAUAUAAAUAAAACUAAUGAUACACACAAAUCGCCUACAAUUAUAUUCACUAAUUAUAAGAACAACUAAUCAGCCUUUGGGCGAUCCAUAAAUGCCUUAUAACAAUGAAUUUCAAUUACCCAUAAACCAAUAACCAUAUAAUUUAGCAUCCAUUAUUCUAUGAGUAAUCAAAAUAAUCAUUAAUUUUGGAAUUAAAUAACCUUACAAAUUUGGCCACUUUGGUGACUAACAAAUUCAACAUACAUUUAAUUCCAACCAAGUAUAAUUGAAAUAAUCAUUAAUUUGAAAUUAAAUAACCUUACAAAUUUGGCCACUUUGGUGACUAACAAAUUCAACAUACAUUUAAUUCCAACCAAAUAUAUAUGGCCUGCACAUACUUAUUGCUAUUAACAAUUCAUAGUCAUUCUAUUAAUUUCAUUCCAGACCAUAAAAUAAUAUUUGCAUUUAUUUGUGUUUUUACAUUCAAACACGUUCAAGCUAUGUAGCAUAUACAUAUAUUUACUGUUACCAAUAAUUGUAAAAUAUUCACAUUAAUUUAAUUGCAGAACAUAAACUUUCAAUCCUUUAAUCACGUUCAACAAUAACUUUUUCGAAAGAAAAAAAAUAAAAAAUAAAAAUAAGUGGGAUUGAAAAUAGCAAACAUAAGGUUGCAAAUAGCAAUUUUCAAAAUUUCUUAUAGGAACAAACAUACCUACGCAGCGCGCAACUUUUCAAAAUUCCUUCACUUACUAAAUAGAUAGUGGCAACUCACAGCUUUCUUUUUCCAUGAAUUGGAAUUGCAACUCACGCUUUCUUUUUCCAUUAUAAAUAGAUAGUGGCAGCCACAAUAGUUUUCUCCAAAUUUACAUAAUAUUUAUACUUUCUCCAAAAAUUGGUAUUCAACAAUAAUAAAAUAUUACCAAUAAAACAAUACAUGCAGCGGAAAAUAAAAUUCCUAAAUUUCAUAAUUAGGAUUUAUGCAUAAUUGGGAGAAAUUAAAUUAUCCCUAAAUUUCAUAAUUAGGGUUCAUACAUAAUUGAGAUAAAUUAAAUUAUCCCUAAAUUUCAUAAUUAGGGUUCAUGCAUAAUUAAGAGAAAUUAAAUCAUUCUUGGAGAAUCAUAAAUUUCAUAACACAUGCUCUGAUAUCACAUGUAAAAAUUCUUAAGGGGUUUCCUAGACUAUCAAUGAUAGGAAACAAUAGGAUCUUGAAACCUAUGGUUCUCACAAACAAUCAAUAAACAACAAUAGAUAAUGAUGUGUACCUUUCUCCAUAGGAAGACUUGUACCUUUCUCCAUAGGAACUUCUCUCUGGUGCACUUUGAUCUCCUUGGAAAAUGAGAGAAAUAAGAUUUCACUUCCUUUGGCCUUUCUUUUCUGCCUCUCUCCGUUAGUGAUGGCUAUGAGUGAGAGAGAACACUUUUCUGGUCAGGAAGGGGACCUUAUUUUACGUUAGUGGGUAUUAAGCCCCUUUUAUAACCACUACUCCCAUCAAGUAGCAGUCAACCCUAGAAACUUCUCCUAUUAAGCCCAAUUACAAUUUAGUCCUUAAUCGUUAAUUAUUUACUUAUUAGUCCCUACAUAAGUCACAUGCCUCUCACAUGAGACAUAAAUUCUAACAUCUUGUGCUUACGUAUGCUGUAUCCAUGUUAAGUUGCCCACCACAUUGAAACUCAAAUUCAGUCCAACACUAAAGGCCUCUAAGUAAUCUGAGAUUGGUUCCAAUCUAGUUCUGCUUGGUUGUUGCAGAAGAGAAGUGAGAUUGCGUUUCACAGCUUAUUUAACUUUGAUUGUGUUAUGCCAAUUGUUGAGUAUCUAACCUUUGAAUUUUUGUAUAAAGGAAAACAAGUGCAUGAGUCCCAUAGCUAUACUCCAGCUACCUAAGGGUCAAGUGAGUUUUAUAUUCCUAUUUUCUGUUAUGUGUUUUUGUUGGCUGAUCACUUUCAGUGCUUGAAUGACUGAAUGAGCAUGCCAUGCCUGAAGUAAUUGUUUAUGUGGCUGAUGUUUGUUUGGUAAAGAAUUGUUUCUAGCAUCCCUUCGUCUACAUUAGUACUUCUUUUGUCAUUCUAUGUAUGUUGUGUAUGAUAUCAUUCUUAUUUCUUAUCAUAGACAUUGGCAAAUGGCAAUUUUAGUUUGUUGGACAAUUUUGUAAUUAUUAUUAUUAUUUUUCUAAUUUUUUGUUUCUCGGAUAUUAUUGGCUGGAACAACCUUUGUGGAACUAGUAGGUCCAAUCCAAGAUAAAUAUCUAUUUAUCUCCUUCUUUUUUUAAUUUGAAGAAGCAUAUUAGUGUCUGUGUGUGUUUCAGUUAGGGUAUUUUUUUUUUGUCAUAUAAAAUAGUACUAACGUGUAUGUUGAAGAAUAACAUAUAAUGUCUUAAGAUUGAAUCAAGAAAUAGCCUAGUAAUAAUUUUGAUUAAACACUUUGAAAAUGUUAGCUCUUUUGGUCCUCUGUUCCAGUUUGAUAUUUUUGUUAUUAUUUUUCAAAUUACAUUCCACUUACUUUAUACAUGAUCGGAGACUUUGAAAGGCUUAUUUGUCACCCGUAAUUGAAGUUUGCUACACGGACAAUAGUGUACCAAGUAUCAACACUUACCUCGUUCUUCUGUGCCCAUUAAAUUUGUAUGUGUAUGCGGUUGAGUUCCUAGUUUGUUUAAUUUCUUUAUUAGUUUAAUUAUUAUUUUGAUCGUGAUUAUAGUGUAAACUUUAUUGGUUUUACUCUAUACAUAAAGGUUAUAUUUAACAAACAAGUCAUUUUUACUAUUUUAAUCGAGUCUGCCAGAUUUUUAAACUGCUAGUAUAAAUUAUCAUUUUAGUGGUUUCAAGUUAUCAUAAACUAAUCUUAAGGACAUGUUUUUCUAGUUUAGGAAUUAAAUUAAAAAAUAUUAGUUUAACGAGAUGCUUAAAUUUUUUUAAUAUAAUUUUAGGAUGAACUAAGUAAUUUAACUUAUAAUUAUACAUAAUAAAAUGAAAAUUGUUUAUCGUGGGCCGUAACCCUAACAUACAAAUUGCCUAGUUUGGUUGAUUGCAAUGAUUUGAUACAAACCAAGCCCGAAUUAUAAAGGACAUGUCAGGAUAGCAAAUUCGUCGUAUUAAUUGUUUAAACAUAGCCAUAGACUAUAAACAUAUUUAGUUCAGUUAAUUAUCUUAUAAGUUUUACAUGCAGUUUAAGUUUCAAGAUAUGCUGUAGAAAUUUUUACUUUUCUAUUAUUUUGUUUCAACUGGCGUGGAAAGACUGUUUUUUUCAUAAAAUAUUAUUGUUUAAUAAAUAUAUUUAAUGAAUAAUUAACUAAGCAGAUUAUAUGUUUAUUAUGCAAUUUUGAUAAAAAAAAAAAAAAACAAAUUAGUAGACAUAAGUUGAAUCAUUGUCUUAAUCAUUUUCUUUUUCCUUUUUUUUAUUAAUAAAUAUAUGUUACAAAUUUCAUCACUUGGUAAAGGAAUGAAAGUUAACGAUCAAUCUCUAAAUACGAUUUGAGAUAUCAAUAUUAAUAUAUGUCAUCUUCAAGAUAUCAAUAGUAACGUAUGCCAUCUCAAUCUUCUUUUGACUUUUUUUUUUUACUUUUGAUUUUCAAUUCAUUUACCACUUAAUGUUUAUUUUAUAAUGUUUGUUAAUAGUCAGAAGAGUUUGGUCGAUGUGCAUGCAAAUUCAUUUACAAAAAGAUACUGGUCAAUUUAUCGAUGAUAGAUCUAUGCAGAUACAUGUGAGACCAUUAUCUUGCAUAUUUUUUUAUUCUUCAAAAUGUUUAUUAUAUUUAUGAAAUAAUAAUUGUUUAUAAAUGACAGAAAGAAUUUGAGGUUAGACUAUCUCAAGCUAGAUCUCAUGUUGCAUAAGUGUUGGUGAAUCACAAUUCACUCCUUUAGACCCUGAUGAAGAACAAAAAUUUAGGAGUCAAUGUUGGAUUGCAAUUGCGAGACCAAAGCGUAAGGGACGCGUUUACGCUACUGGAGACCUUGCUCAUACUUAUAAAUGUGGAGAUGACAACUUCAUACAACAUAUGCAAGGAUCUUCCAGUCGCACCCAAGAUGCCAUAGAGAUUAAGCGACUGAGGGAGGAGCUUCGUCAAUCAAAGGACGAGAUGCAUGUAUUUCAGUCAGUUACCUCUUGAAGUGCAUAACAUUAUUCAUCAACAUCAACAACCUCACUAGCAACAUCAAAACCAACAACAAGAAGACAAUGAGCAGGCAGAUGACCAACAACAAGAUGAUGACCAACAGAGACACGCUCCCAAUGAAUAUUUUGAUUACUGACUUAACAUCAUAAAAUUGUUAUUGACAUAUUACAUUGUGUUUUUCUUUUGCAUUUAUUUUCAAUUUAACUUAAUGAUAUAUUUUACUAUUUGUUUUGGAUUUAUAAAUUUGAGUAUUCCAUUAAUUACAUGUAUGCAUUAAUUAAAAUUUUGGCGUUAAAUAAUAUAAAUACAAAAAAUAAUUGCAAAAUUAUUGAUGUUAAAUAAUAAAAAUGAAAAACAAAUAAAAUAAAUGAUUCUUUAUAAAAUGAUAUUUAUGACGGAAAGAGUCCAACCGGAUAUUUCUGUCGGAAAUUUCUAACGAACAACAAAAAUUCGUCAGUUAAAAUUUUCUACGACUAUUUUUUCGAUGGAUUUUGGUCCGUAUGAAAUUUUAAAUUACUGACGAAUUUUUGAGAUUUUCGUCAGAAAUUCGCUUUUUUUGGGAGUGAUUGUAUGUAUCUUUUUGUAUGAAAAUUAACAAAUAAAGAACAACAAGAACUUGCAUAUCAUUCUGUUAUUAUCUGUGGUUCCUACUCCUUUAUGUCCGUCCAACAUUCUGCUAUGCUUUGGUAUGAGAGCCUGAUGGGGAAGUAGGAACGUUUUGCGUAGGGGAAUCUGUAUGCUGAUUUCAUGGAUUUGGAUGUUUGUACAAUAAUUUUAUUUUGAAUAUCAAAUAUUUUAUAUAGCAACUUUAAACUGAACCGUAUGUGUUUGAAUCAUAUUCUUAGAAAUACAACAAUUAAAAUUUUAGUUGGAUGAUACUGUAGCAGUAAAUCUCGUAGAUGAGAAAAGACAAUAAAACUAAGGUAUAUAUAUAUAUAUAUAUAUAUAUAUAUAUAUAUAUAUAUAUAUAUAUAUAUAUAUAAAGUAUUUAUUUAAAUAAUCUAGUAUUUAUUUCGUUAACCAACCUUAGGAGUGUUUAGUCUAAUUUUCUUUUUUUUUUUACGAAAUUGUCAUAAAAUAUGAUCAUGUAAAAGUUAAUGUCUAUAUCUUUUUGUAUAAAAAUUAACAAAUAAAGACCAUCAAGAUUUUUUGAAUAUUUAUGAAAACCGUUCGUUAACUAACUCUAAAGCUAUUAUAAGGUAAACAAAAUAUUAAAAGAGAAUGUAUUUAUUAUAUUAAAAAUAUGAAAAUAUUUAUUUUUUUAAGUAACAAAAAGUAUUUAUGUAAAUAAAGUAGUAUUUAUAUCAUCAACCAACCUUAGUGUAAUUUGUUCAUUUAACUUGUCAUAAAAUAUGAUCAUGUAAAAGUUAAUGUCUAUGUAUUUUUGUGUGAAAUUUACAAAUAAAGACCAACAUUGCUUAAAAAACUAAAGUAAAGACCAACAAGAUUUUGAGAAUAUUUAUGAAACCCGUUUCGUUAACAAACUCUAAAGCUAUUAUAAAUUGCAUACAGAUUAAAUUGAAGGACUAAACUUUAGUUAAAAAAUAUCUUUAUUAGAAUUAUGAAGACCACAAGAUUUAGUUGAUUUUCAGAAUUUAACACGUUUAAACUAAUAGUCAAUUUUAUUGUAUACAUAUUUCGAAAUUAUUUUGUAUUAAACAUUAGAAAAUUUACGAAAAUAAAAAUGAAAAAAAUGAAUUAAAUAUUAGAAAAAGUAUGAAAAUAAAAAUGAUAAAAAAAAUGGAAUCAUAGCACCCAGAGAUGGGUACUUUCGAAAAAUAUAACAUUUGAUUAUCUACUGAAUAAAUUGUCCUUUUAGUUGUUGAAGUAUCAACUGAAUGUAUUGUGUUUUCAAGUUUUUUAAGUAUUUAUCAAAGGAUUUGUGAAUAUUUUUGCAUGAAAAUUAACACAUGAAAGACCAACAAGAAUUUGUGAAUAUUUAUGAAAACCAUUUCGUUAACCAACUCUAAAGCUAUUAUAAAGUAAAAAAUAUAUAUUUAAAGGGGAAUUAUUUAUUAUAUUAAAAAUGUGUAAAAUAUUUAUUUUUUAAGUAACAAGAAGUAUAUUUGUAAAAUAAUUUAUUAACAUUUGAUUAUCUACUGAAUGAAUUGUCCUCUUAGUUGUUGAGGUAUCAACUGAAUGUAUUGUUUUAAGUUCUGGAAGUAAUUAUAGGCUAAAUAGCCGUCGAUCAUUAGUGUAUUCUUUGAGCCAUAAAAUCAAACGAUGUGAGCAAUAUUUCAUAACACUAAAUUAAUACCAGCCAAAAUAUAUAUUCAUGAAACAAGACAUGUAAAUAUUACAAUGGAGUGUACAACUUUUGGUAUUGGCACCUGUCACCUAAUGAAAAGACUCUUCUACCCUCUAGUUCAAAAUUUUCACCCCUCCCUCUUCCUUCUCUCUACCCGAGCCCCCCACCUUUCCUGGCACCCUCCACUUCUCCUCCCCUUCUUUGCACACAAACCCCAAUCCUUCUCCCUUCCCGACUUCUGUCCGCUAUUUCUUCAAUGGAAUAAGAAUUUCAUUUAUUCUUUUGAAAAAAAAAAUAACAAAAUCUCGAUUCCAUUAUAUAUUUUGACCUAAUAAAAUCAUAAUUUUACUAUUUGCUUUUUUUAUUUUAAAAACCGCUACAAAAAUUUUGUUUUCAAUAAUGAUUUCAUUAUUUUUUUUCUUUACCUCAAUAUAAUCAUGAUUAUAUUAUAUUGAAAAAAAAAAUUCAAAACAAAAUCACAAUUCAAUUUUACCAAGGGAUACAAAAAUAAAAAAUAACAAAAUCAUAAUUUUAUCAUUAUAAAAAAAUAUACAAUAAAUUCAUAAUUUUAUUAUUUUAAAAAGAAUACAGAAAUUAUCACAUAAUAGAUUCAUAAUUUCAUUAAUUUAUAUAACAAAAUCAUAAUUUCAUUAAUUUGUAUAACAAAAUCAUAUUUUCAUCAAAUAAAUUUUUGAAAUAAAAAAAAUAUAUCAACCCAUUGCGAGAAACUAAGAACAAAUGAGAUGCGAUCAAUAACAAUUCCCGUAUUACAAGCACAACAACUUGGUCUCAGACAUCAGAAUCAACUUGCUCCGUACGACGUCUCACUUAAAAUCCAAAUCCACACAAGAUUUGAAUUAAAUCCUCUUUACAACUCGGCAUCCUUAAUCGGCAAUAGAACUUAAUAAGACCAUACAUACCACGUUUUAUGCAUUACUUACAAAUGCAAAACUGAUAGCUCGAUUGUAAUUGUUUAGUAAUUAGUUACUACGGGAAAUUGUCACAUGUUACCCAAGCAAUUGAACGGCAUGCAGAUAACAUGAACAACACGAACAAAAUACAAUAAUUAAUCAGGAAAUCGCAAUAGCUAUAGACGGUAAGAACGAAGUUAGGUCCGAAAGAUCACUAUCAUUAUCGCUGAACAAUGUUAUUUAACAAAAGUAUCAACCACAAAUAAAAACAACAACCCAACUUCCCAAUCAUCGUCACGUCCAGCAAAAUACAUUCAAAAGCUAUCUAAAAUCUGGGGAACCCACAUUGGCAUUAAAAACCAUGACCAUACAAUUUUUUAGAGAAAUAU